AGUGAACGCUGGCGGUAGGCCUAACACAUGCAAGUCGAACGGCAGCACAGUAAGAGCUUGCUCUUACGGGUGGCGAGUGGCGGACGGGUGAGGAAUACAUCGGAAUCUACUUUUUCGUGGGGGAUAACGUAGGGAAACUUACGCUAAUACCGCAUACGACCUACGGGUGAAAGCAGGGGAUCUUCGGACCUUGCGCGAUUGAAUGAGCCGAUGUCGGAUUAGCUAGUUGGCGGGGUAAAGGCCCACCAAGGCGACGAUCCGUAGCUGGUCUGAGAGGAUGAUCAGCCACACUGGAACUGAGACACGGUCCAGACUCCUACGGGGGGCAGCAGUGGGGAAUAUUGGACAAUGGGCGCAAGCCUGAUGCAGCCAUACCGCGUGGGUGAAGAAGGCCUUCGGGUUGUAAAGCCCUUUUGUUGGGAAAGAAAAGCAGCAGGUUAAUACCCCGCUGUUCUGACGGUACCCAAAGAAUAAGCACCGGCUAACUUCGUG
This 492-nucleotide ribosomal RNA is filed under the name uncultured bacterium. RNAcentral's name for it is "partial 16S ribosomal RNA". It matches the Rfam family "Bacterial small subunit ribosomal RNA", at positions 29 to 507 of the family's 1533-position model. The record is from RNAcentral.